GCCCGUCUCAUUUCCCCUUUCAUCAGCUUAAUACCAAACAAAACCCUAAACUUUGCCUUUUUCAUUGAAAUGGUUUCACAAACCCUAGCUGCCCUUUCUCUCUCUUGGUCAACAACGCCGAAAAUGGCAAUCGUCCACGCGUUUUUGCUUUUCAGAGGCCCUGCAUGGUCACUUUUGGAAAUCAUUAAAUGCUUGUGCUCUCUCUCCACCGUAGAACCUCCAGGAAAGGUAAAAGCCCUCUUCCUCUCUCUUUUGCUUUUCUAAUUCAACAAGGACGAAACCUUAAUGGGUUUUGUCGGUUUGUUCUUGAUUUUCUAUUGGUUUUCAGCGAAUCACAAUGACUCAAGAGGAAACCCUAAAAACCUUUAGUCCCAUAUCGUUUGCAAACUAGAAAAUUGAGGUUUUGGGGUUCUAUAUAAACAACCUCAUACCCUUCAAUUUGAACAAGUCUUUUCGGGGCAAAAAAUACAUAAUUUUUCGAUUUAACUAGGGAUUUAGCUAUAGCUGAAACCUUUACCAUGCUGAAGUUUGAUCUGUACCAUAUUGAAGUUUGAUCUGAAACCGUUACCAUACUGAAGUUAGAUUUUUAGUAUAAAAUUUUACUCUUUUGUGUGUGGCUGAGUGUUCGAUACUGUGGAGAAGUCCAAGGAUCCUCCCAAUUCCAUUCUCGAUCAAGGCUGCCCCUAAGAAAGGUAAUCCUUCAUCCUUUCCCAGCUUUAAUAUUCUAUUUGUGUGCUGGCGUGCCUAUCUGUGUCGUGUGUAUUAGUUUAAUUAUGUAAUUGAAUUUAGUUUAUAUCCUUGCUUAGAUUAAUCUUGUAUACCAUGUAUUGAUUAAUUAAAUUUGUAGUUAGAAUGUUUAUUUGCCUAGGGUUGGGUGUGACAAGCCCUAGUAAUCUGCUUAGUUAUUUAAGUGGCUUAAGCAUGAUUAUGUGGUUGUAGUUGUUUAGUUUAGUGUCCUGUUUGUUAACUGUCACGACCCAACCUACGGGUCUUGCGGGCACCUACCAUAUUACUAACCUAGUAGGCGAACCCUUACCAAUAAACCCAACAUUUAAAACUAUUACGACAACCAUCUUUAAAAAUUACAGACUUAAAGUAAAAACUUCGUACAAACUGUUUCAAAACACAAUAAAUCUGAAAGGAAAUUUCCCGGGAUCUAGUCUAGACAGGUACAAGAGCUCCUAUAGUACAGGAAGACAAAAUAAAUGACACAGCCUUCGCCGGGAGUGAGAUAAGCGAGGAUGUAGGAGAAUGUCAGGAAAAUCCCCACGGCGAAACUUCAAGUAAGACCUGCAACACAUCUACACCCAGAAAAGGCGUAGCAAGAGUAGUAUCAGUACACCACACGUACUGGUAAGCAUCAUAGGUCAACUAAUAUUAGUUCACGCAACACAAUAUAAAGUCAAUAAGAUAAACAGAUAAGUCAAUGAAACUCAAGAUUCUAAAUAAAGAUUGUUACAUUCUCAUAACUUGCCUUCCCACUCUCGCUGUUCACUUCUUUUAUUUCCAAGAAUUACGGGCAUUCUACUUACUCACAAUCGUUACCUCCCUUCCAUCCAACCUAUUCACCCCUGUCUCCACGCUCAUCGUAUACUCUAGCUUCUACCCUUUUAUGUUCGUAAAGUUCACCUACACCAAUUACUUACUACAACACGAUGUGCACCUAGGGAAAUGGGUCACUAUCUGACAAUCCGCUACUAUACUUAUCUUAUAUUAGUCCUCUCUCUACCCAGAUUCUCAAUGAGGACAUAAAGAUGAAUAUGCAAUAUCAACGAUAGUAGUACACCUAUGUAUAUCAUAGAAAUAUGAGAUGUAGUGAAAUGCAAAAUGCGAUGCAAGGGCCCAAACACACUGUACACACAUGCUAUCUGAUGUCAUUGCUCAGUAGUCAUGACCUGCAGGGGACCCAUGGUGUACAUGUACCACUUGUUCCGAAAUACUCCUCGGACCCGAGCACAAACCUCUGCUCCGGAAUAAACCUCGGACACGAGACAUAUCAUACAUAUAUCCACGUAUUCAACUCAACGGCCACAAGACCAGGUAACACAAUGCCCACACUCGGCCUUGCCUGCCACAUGUAUUUCCUCAUAAAGCCAUGCAAUGCAACGAUGCAAUAUAUAUAUCAAACCAAUCAUAAAUCCUGCCCUUGAUGUCGUAGUGCCAGUCCAACUCAAUAUAGUUCUUUCAAUACAAAUCUUUUGUUUCCAAGGAAAACAGCCAUGUCAAUAUUUAAGAAAAUCGGGUAUAAAGACGGAAAUCACCCACUUCUAGGGGUGCAUAAAUUAAACACGAAGUACCCCUCAGUAAUAACAACACUUUCUAUUAAUAAUAACUCAUUAUUACCCUAGCUAUCAUUUACACAAUAUUUUAGUCACAUUAACGAGUAUGUCCAUCCAAACUCCAUGUCCGAAGACCUAAUCAUGCAGUCUCCCGUCAACUCUAAAGGUAUGUACGAUUCGCUAAUCAAAGUCUAACUCAAGUAAACCAUAACCUACCUCGUUGACGAACCGCUAAUUGAAUCUCCAUGAAUUUCUCAUCUUCCUAGCCUUCAUCCGAAUUCAUGAGCGGUAAUAUUCGUAGGGAAUGAUGGGAACGAAAUUUAGAAAGGUUUCUUUUUCUUGGUGUCAAGGGCUUUUUGUUCAUAUGGAACCCUAGGAGCAGCGCUUGGGAUUCUUCUAUUGAAAAAGGAGAGAAAAAUACACUAAGUGACCAAAAACGCGUCAUUGCCCCGCGUGGACCGCUAUAGCGGUCCGCUUCUUUUCCCGAGCCCGCAAUUUCUAAUUCUUUUCGAAAUUGAUUUUUCCCACUUUUAACCCUUAAAUCACAUCAUAGAGCUUAGUAUUUACGACCCUAGACCUAGAUUGGUCACGGGUUCGCGGAAUAUUAAAUAACGACCGGACGGGUCGUUACAUUAACUCAUCCCUAUAUUGAUUAGUUUAACUUAAAUGGCGUAGUUAAGGAACUAUGGUAUGGUGUGCUUAAUCUAUACUGGUCAACUUAGUUAUUUAAAUUAUUUUAGCAUGAUUUUGUAAGUCAUGAUGUUGGAUUGGUACUCUGUUUGUUUAAAACUUUCAUGUGCUGAUUAGUUUAACUUAUGGGACAUAGUUAGAAAGUUGUGUUUGAUAAACUUCAAGGAAGAUUAGCUUUUAAUAAAACUGAUUAAGCAUGAUUUUUGUUAAGUUCUUUGUGGAGCCGUGUUUAGCUUAAUACUGGAUCAGGUGAUAACCCCUAUUUAGGACAUGUUUCACACACUGCAGAUGGCUUAACUAAUUCAAUUGUUCCUUUGUUUGAUUUGACCUUCAAAUAGUUUAGUGUUGGGUGUUUCACUUAGUGUAGUCAAUAUGGGAUGCUAAUAACUUGUAUUGAAUAUGAAACCUUAGUGAUUGAGAUGAAUUAAUAAUAACCUUGUGCUAUAACCUGUUGUCUAUGCCAACACUUGUUCUGUAGAAAUGCUAAUCAUGCCUUAUAGAAUCUUUCUUAGCCUAUUAAACCAAUGUGAAUUUGGUUUUAGUUAAAUGAUUGAAGUCUAGCUACUAAAUUAAAAAGAUUAUUGAUUGAACAAAGGGGGGUAACAAUAUGGUUUCUCGUUUAGGAUGAAGACUUGGACUUGCAAUAUGAUCAUGUGUAGUGUGCUCUAACUCCAUGUUAAGUUAUGGUUGUUUCAGACCUUGAAAUUUCGUUUUUUGCACUACACUCACUUGUGUAUGUUUGAGUUUCAACUUCAUCAAAUUAGCUAAUUGGUCUAAAAAGAGAAUAAGUGAGUGUAAAUGUAGUCUUGAUGAAUGCUGACCUAUCCAUCCAUAGUUGUGAUUCUUGAAGUUUUAGUGUUGUGGAUCUGUGUAAACCUAAGACAAGUUUUGGAAUCCUCUUUAUGUCCACAAGCAUGAUCCCAUAAUCACUUCCUCUCAUCCAUAAUUUGCUAAACAUGAACUGUUUGACCGAGAAAAGGUGUUUGUUUUGUUUGUCUUCUUAUGUGUGCUUAGUAUAGCUAAGCAAGUGGUCUUUACACCACCUAUGGGACUAUAAAGCUAAUGCAAAUUUGUCCUGAUCUAGCUAUAGGAUAAUGAAACAUAAGACCUAAAACCUAGGAAUUUUAAAAAUUGUAAAAAGAUAUGUGUAUAACUAAAUAUUGAAGAAACUGCAUUGGGUUUUUAUUUCAAGCAUGAUCCUCCCUGUCCCCUUCUCCCUUGGGAUUUGUUGUGUCAUUAUCUUAGAUGAUAUGGUUAGGAAUUCCUCUUGCCAUGUCUUAUCCCUUCUACAUAUAUUUGGGUUCAACGUUGUGUAUGAGACUGCAAGUCAAAAAAGGAAUCUGUGAACCAUCUUUAUUCUAGUAAUGUACCUUCAAUUGUGCAAACUUGCAUCGUGUUUGUCCACCUUUCUGAAUUCCUAAGUGACUAACUAAAUGAAAAGGGGAUGUUUGAACUUAAAGAUUAGGAAGGAAAUAUGGUCUGUUUGCUUUUGUCUUUUUGACGGAGGUGUCACUCUUCAUUAAGUAAGCACUGCGUGAUGUCCUAGGGCCAUGAGCCCAAGAAAGGACUAUUGAGUAUCCUUACUCAGUCUUAUCUUGGUUUGUUCUUGCUGCUGGGGUUCCUCUUUGCUAUCACUUAGGAUUGUGGGACACUUUAUAGAUGUUGGAGGCAGUAAACUAAGAUGAGACUGAAGAUCUGUUAUUUGAACCCUAUCUAUCCUGACUGUGACAUAAGGCUUAAGGGCCUCUUUGUGUUGUUUCGUCUGCUAAUGACAUAUCUAAACUAAUAAAUGUGGCCUCCAUUGUUUGGUAUGUAAGCCUCAAGCCUUAUGAUGAAUUUGAGGCUAAAUAGUGGCUUUAUAAGUGUCUAAAUGAUCUACUGAAAGUGUCUCAUGUAUGUAUGCUAAGAUAUUCUUUUGAGGCAGUGUUGAGUGUCAUAAUAAGGCAUACUAUUUCCCUACUGGAUUUCUAAGUAUGUCUCGUAAGUUUAAGCUUUAAAAGUGAUCUCAAAAUUUAACAAAUGUGUAGACAGUUCACCUUGGGACAUGAUUUAAUUGUCUGAAAGCUUGUGUUGCUUCUUCUUCAAGUUUGACGAUAGUUGAGAAAGCAUAUUUGUUCUUAACUGGCUUUGUGUAUGUUUCAAGCCUAGAAUAAGUAAUUGGUGCCUUCUUUAGACCGUUUAGUCUGAUAAAGGGAAUGAUUCAUAUGCUAUAACAGAAGUAUACUCAUUGUAUAUCAUGGCAUAUUCGGAGUAUAUGAGACUGACUAUGUGUGCUUGAUGUAUAUACUUGUCCGAAUUCUUAUUCUUCUCUUUCUUGGGUGGGUAUGCUGUGGUAUACUACCAGAAUAUAUAAUGAUAUAUACCUCAAAUAUGCUUUAGGAUACAGAGGGUAUAUAUCGUGUAUACCCGUUACAUAUCAACACAUAUUGCGCUGCUAUAUCUGGACUGUUAACUAGACUGUCUCUUCUCCAUUUUUGUUCAUCUAAAUGUUAUUGAGCCUAUAUUGGAUCCAUGUUGUUCCUGUCUUAUAUGUCUGAAUCUGCUAUGAUAUGUGUUAAAUGGGUCUAUAUUCGAUCCAUCUAAGGGUAUCUUGAAGUUUGCUUCAGUUGUGAUUAAAUUGAUAUGUGUUAAAUCUUCUUGUUAAAUAUGUAGUUAAGUAUGGAUGCCUUCUAAUUGCCUUUUUCCUUUCCCCUUUUAACAUGAACUCGCGUGGGGUCAAUUGGGCCCAAACCUGCAUAUCGCCGCCUCUGUUGAUCCAAAAACCCAACACACCAAUAGAUCGCACCAGCCACGUCAUAAGAAGGCCCAACCAUGGGUGAAAAUGGUGCAAGUUUAACUGGUGGGCUCAGUAAACCCACUAGUCCGUUUCCCUUUCAUGUUAUAUAUAUAUAUAUAUAUAUAUAUAUAUAUAUAUAUAUGUUGUAUGUAAAACUAUUUGUAUUCUAUUGAAACCCCUUUAGAAUCUAGUUGAAAUAUUUUUAGGCAAAACGAUGCUAAGAUCGUUAGAAAUGGUAGAAGACCUUUUUUUAAAUGAGACCUAACCUAACUUUGACACGAAAAAAGAAGAAGAUAUAUACGGUUUACUCUUCAAAGUGAAUCCGUAACAAAUGCACAUUUUUCCUCAAAAUGAUUUGAAAGCUUUCCAAAGGCAAUUUCUUUCAAAAUAAGAGUAUGUUUUGCUAAGCAUGAGUACAAAAAGGUUUAUGUUUUUUUGGACAUACAAAAUCGUAAAUUUGUUUGAAACAACAAGAAAUGGGCUAAGACAAAUGAAUACUUUCACUAAAUUAUGGCUUCUUAAAAACAAACAAAAUACGCCAAGUCAUUUUCUUGAAAUCAAUUCACAAGAAUUAAAUAAUUCAUACUACUUUGGACCAAAUUGAAAUAGAACUCUACUCAAAAUCACUUCUAGUGUGUUUUGGUCUAGAAAAGUUGUUACAUUCCGUGUUUCAUGUGUUAGAAAGCGUGCUAGUUAAAAGACAUAAUAGGGGAAAAUGAGAUUACCCCCGAGCUUAUAGGUUAAGACUCAAAAGUGGAAUGACGGUGAGUGAAAAUAAUAUCUUGUGUAUGCCAAAAGAUGCUACGGACAAGUGUUAUAUCACAUAAUCAUGAUAAUGAGUAUAUGUGUGUUGAAAAUGAUUAUUAUUUAAGUGAGUUGAGAUCAAGAGAUUAAUUAUGGGGGUAUUUGGUUAAAGGUCGAAAUAGAUGGAGGGUAAAGAAGUAAUUUUGGUGUUAAUGGAUUAAUAGAGAAAUAUUACUUCAAUUAGUAUGUUUACACGUGGGAGCCUAGGACAAGUGCAGCAUAUGAAUAUGCUUAUACAUGAAGAAGUGGCUAUUAUUAGUACCCUUUGGAUAAGAACCAAUUAUGGGAUAAAUAAUCAAUUAUGUGCACAAUAUGUACAAUCACUAAAAGACAAAUCCAAGUGAUGACUAACGUGGGGAGGAAGCUUAUGCGUCUCAUGUUUAGCAAUUAGGAAUUAAAUAUGUCCAGCCACCUUGAUUUUCAUUUGUAAAAUAGAUAUUACACCUUGUUUAAGUAAGCAAAUAGACCAGCAAAUCUUUCUCACGUUGGAGAAGAAAGCAAGCAUACGUUUUUGGUCUUUGGGGUUCAUUUGAAGAAAGAAAAACAUCAUUUCCAACAAUAUUAUGGAAGAGCAGGACGUGUCCGGCAGUGUUGUUCCAUUUAUUCUUAUUCAAAGUGUAAAAAAGAGUAUGAAGUGGAGACUUGAAGAUGAUAAGAUAAGCUGAAAUGCCCUCUAGCACUAGAGCCAUUUAUGAAGGUGUUGUAAUAAGGAUCAAGAUUGGCUAAGUGUCGGAGAAGUACGUUGGAAGAUUAACUUAAGCGGUACAGAUUGGCCAGUGUUGGAAGCAUAGGUUGAGUUAAGCGCGUAAGCGACAAAGGUUGUUUCUCGUACUUUCAUUAUGACUUAUAUCUCAUUCAUUAUGAUUACUGCUGCCUUACAUACUCGGUGCAUUGUUCGUACCGACGUCCCUUUGCCUGGGGGCGCUGUGUUUCAUGCCACACAACCACAUGUUGCUUUGCAGUAAAGUUAUACAAGAGCUUCACUAUAGGAUGUCCCAGGCUAUCAGCUGGAUUGGUAAACUCCAUUCUGUUCGGAGUGAUGCCGCGUCGGAGUAUUUCCUUGUGAGUUGAGUCAUGCAUUAUGGGUAUGUUGGGGCCCUGUCCCAAUUUAGGUUUUGAUAUCAUAUCUUACAUUAGAGACUUUUGCAGACAGAGUCAUGUAUAUAUAGUAUCUCAGUCUUGUAAGCGGCUAUGUAAGCCGAUGUAUCAUUAUGCAUUACUUUACAAAUUUUACUUGAUUUGAGAAAGACAAAAAGAAUAUUUUUGAAAAGCUUUCAUUAUGUA
Long non-coding RNA from Lycium barbarum (goji berry), 7833 nucleotides. RefSeq lists it as uncharacterized. NCBI's taxonomy places the organism in Eukaryota, Viridiplantae, Streptophyta, Magnoliopsida, Solanales, Solanaceae. The transcript has 3 exons. The record is from RefSeq and is a predicted model, not a curated record.